GAUGAACGCUGGCGGCGUGCUUAAUACAUGCAAGUCGAGCGGAGGGAGGAGAAGCUUGCUGGUCUGAGGUUAGCGGCGGACGGGUGAGUAACACGUGGAUAACCUACCUACUUGACUGGGAUAACCGCGUGAAACCGUAGCUAAUACGGGAUAAUAUUUUGAUCUGCAUGGUUCAACAGGGAAAGACUGUUUCGCUGUCGGGUAUAGAGGGAUCGGCGCUGCAUCAGGUAGUUGGUAAGGUAGCGGCUUACCAAGGCAACGCUGGAUAGCCGACCUGAGAGGGUGGUCGGGCAGGCCACACCUGAGACACGGUCCAGCCUCCUCCGGGACGCAGCACUGGGGUAUCUUACGCAAUGCGAGGAAGCCUAACCGAACACAGCCACGUGAGUGAUGGAGGUCUUCCCAUCGGAAAGUUCUCCUCUUAGGCAAGAACAUCAGUGCAAGUACCUGUGCACAGGUUGACGGUACCUAAUCAGAAAGCCCCGGCUAACUACGUG
This 497-nucleotide ribosomal RNA is filed under the name uncultured bacterium. Its description in RNAcentral is "partial 16S ribosomal RNA". It matches the Rfam family "Bacterial small subunit ribosomal RNA", at positions 28 to 507 of the family's 1533-position model. The record is from RNAcentral.